CUGGCGGCAUGCCUUACACAUGCAAGUCGAACGGCAGCACGGGAGCAAUCCUGGUGGCGAGUGGCGAACGGGUGAGUAAUAUAUCGGAACGUGCCCGGUCGUGGGGGAUAACGUAGCGAAAGCUACGCUAAUACCGCAUACGAUCUACGGAUGAAAGCGGGGGAUCUUCGGACCUCGCGCCAUUAGAUGAGCCUAGGUCGGAUUAGCUAGUUGGUGAGGUAAUGGCUCACCAAGGCGACGAUCCGUAACUGGUCUGAGAGGAUGAUCAGUCACACUGGAACUGAGACACGGUCCAGACUCCUACGGGAGGCAGCAGUGGGGAAUAUUGGACAAUGGGCGAAAGCCUGAUCCAGCCAUGCCGCGUGUGUGAAGAAGGUCUUCGGAUUGUAAAGCACUUUAAGUUGGGAGGAAGGGUAGUAACCUAAUACGUUGCUACUUUGACGUUACCGACAGAAUAAGCGCCGGCUAACUUCGUG
This 476-nucleotide ribosomal RNA is filed under the name uncultured bacterium. Its description in RNAcentral is "bacterial SSU rRNA". It matches the Rfam family "Bacterial small subunit ribosomal RNA", at positions 36 to 507 of the family's 1533-position model. The record is from RNAcentral.